RNAcentral lists this ribosomal RNA (253 nucleotides) under uncultured bacterium. RNAcentral describes it as "partial 16S ribosomal RNA". It matches the Rfam family "Bacterial small subunit ribosomal RNA", at positions 524 to 776 of the family's 1533-position model. The record is from RNAcentral.
UACGUAGGGGGCAAGCGUUGUCCGGAUUUAUUGGGCGUAAAGCGCUCGCAGGUGGUUCGUUGCGUCGUGCGUGAAAGACCCCGGCUCAACUGGGGAGGGUCGUGCGAUACGGGCGAACUGGAGGCCAGUAGGGGGAUGCGGAAUUCCGGGUGUAGUGGUGGAAUGCGUAGAGAUCCGGAGGAACACCAGCGGCGAAGGCGGCAUCCUGGACUGGUCCUGACACUCAGGAGCGAAAGUGUGGGGAGCGAUCCGG